Molecule: ribosomal RNA, 497 nt
Filed under: uncultured bacterium
Lineage: Bacteria
Description: partial 16S ribosomal RNA
Rfam family: Bacterial small subunit ribosomal RNA
Source: RNAcentral
GAUGAACGCUGGCGGCGUGCCUAAUACAUGCAAGUCGAGCGGACGGACGAGAAGCUUGCUUUUCUGAUGUUAGCGGCGGACGGGUGAGUAACACGUGGAUAACCUACCUAUAAGACUGGGAUAACUUCGGGAAACCGGAGCUAAUACCGGAUAAUAUUUUGAACCGCAUGGUUCAAAAGUGAAAGACGGUCUUGCUGUCACUUAUAGAUGGAUCCGCGCUGCAUUAGCUAGUUGGUAAGGUAACGGCUUACCAAGGCAACGAUGCAUAGCCGACCUGAGAGGGUGAUCGGCCACACUGGAACUGAGACACGGUCCAGACUCCUACGGGAGGCAGCAGUAGGGAAUCUUCCGCAAUGGGCGAAAGCCUGACGGAGCAACGCCGCGUGAGUGAUGAAGGUCUUCGGAUCGUAAAACUCUGUUAUUAGGGAAGAACAUAUGUGUAAGUAACUGUGCACAUCUUGACGGUACCUAAUCAGAAAGCCACGGCUAACUACGUG